GCCUACGGGGGGCAGCAGUGGGGCCUCUUGGCCCGUUGUUUCCCCCCUGCUCCAGCGACGCCGCGUGAGUGAAGAAGUAUUUCGGUACGUAAAGCUCUAUCCGCAGGAAAGAAAAUGACGGUACCUGACUAAGAAGCCCCGGCUAACUACGUGCCAGCAGCCGCGGUAAUACGUAGGGGGCAAGCGUUAUCCGGAUUUACUGGGUGUAAAGGGAGCGUAGACGGCAGCGCAAGUCUGGAGUGAAAUGCCGGGGCCCAACCCCGGAACUGCUCUGGAAACUGGGAAGCUGGAGUGCAGGAGAGGUA
Molecule: ribosomal RNA, 305 nt
Filed under: uncultured bacterium
Lineage: Bacteria
Description: bacterial SSU rRNA
Rfam family: Bacterial small subunit ribosomal RNA
Source: RNAcentral